Molecule: ribosomal RNA, 419 nt
Filed under: uncultured eukaryote
Lineage: Eukaryota
Description: bacterial SSU rRNA
Rfam family: Eukaryotic small subunit ribosomal RNA
Source: RNAcentral
CAAUAGCGUAUAUUAAAGUUGUUGCAGUUAAAAAGCUCGUAGUUGGACUUCUGAUGUGAAAGAUCGGUCCACCGCAAGGUGAGCACUGAUUCUUCGCGUCUUCCUCUCGUAGUUGUUUCGCGCACUUAGUUGGGUGCGAGAUGAAUAUGGGACCUUUACUUUGAAAAAAUUAGAGUGUUCAAAGCAGGCAAUCGCUUGAAUACAUUAGCAUGGAAUAAUAAUAUAGGAUCGAGAUUCUAUUUUGUUGGUUUCUAGAAUCACGAUAAUGAUUAAUAGGGAUAAUUGGGGGCAUUUGUAUUAACGCGUCAGAGGUGGAAUUCUUGGAUUGCGUUACGACAAACUACUGCGAAAGCAUUUGCCAAGGAUGUUUUCAUUGAUCAAGAACGAAAGUAUGGGGAUCGAAGACGAUCAGAUACCAU